This 772-nucleotide long non-coding RNA is filed under the name Parus major (Great Tit). Its description in RNAcentral is "lncRNA (ENSPMJG00000017356.1)". The record is from RNAcentral. Lineage: Eukaryota; Metazoa; Chordata; Aves; Passeriformes; Paridae.
AUGAUCAGUGGCCUGCUGAAGCUCAGCACACAACACUGGGGCAGCGAUUUGGAGACACCUCCAGCAGAAGCUGCAAUGUGCCUUCUGAGCUUGUGCUGCAAGGACAACACACAGGACCUUGCUGUCCCCUGCUCGGUGACAGCGUUUGUCUCCACACGAGCACAAAGCCACAAGGCAGCCUGCCAGCUGACACCUUCCCCAGGGAGCUGGGAAGGAGGGUCAGAGUGUGAUGAGCUGCCCUGCUCCCACCUGAGGGCUCGCCAGCAGACCGGGAGAAGCCCUGCAGCAUCAGGCAUUAAUGGAACUAUUUGGGGACAGAAAAGCUGGAGUAAGAUGGAGACAGAAGUCCACCUUGGUGUGCACAAACCAGGACAAAGUACAGUGAGAUCACUAGAAGCUGGCUGCUAAAUCUGAUCUGUCCUGCACUUUGGGAACAGCAAGGCACCACAGAAGUCAUCAACAAGCUGCAAGGGUGGCUGCCAACCCAGAGCCAGGAGUGUGGCUUGAGCAGGUGGAGGGCUGGAGCUGGUGGAGGUAACACUUCACUCUGGGUUUUGGUCCCUGAAUGAGAGGGCUGGACAGCAUUAGCUAUCACUGACCUGGAGCCAGCAUCUGAAUGACUGCAGAAGAAGCUCACCCUCGCUGGAGCCCUGCCUGGGCACGGUUUCAGGCACAGCUGCCAGCAGGCUCAUGCAGUUGGCCUGUCCUGUGUAAUGCUCAGCACAAGUGAUGUUGGACUGACACUGCUCCACAGCCCUGGCCACAGCAUCAG